AGCAGCCGCGGUAAUUCCAGCUCCAAUAGCGUAUAUUAAAGUUGUUGCAGUUAAAAAGCUCGUAGUUGAAUUUCGGGGUUAGUAGGUUGGUCAUGCCUCUGGUAUGUACUGGUCUCACUGAUUCCUCCUUCCUGAUGAAUCUUAAUGCCAUUAAUUUGGUGUUUUGGGGAAUUUGGACUGUUACUUUGAAAAAAUUAGAGUGUUUAAAGCAAGCUAACGCUUGAAUACAUUAGCAUGGAAUAAUGAAAUAGGACGUUCGAUCCUAUUUUGUUGGUUUCUAGGAUUGACGUAAUGAUUAAUAGGGAUAGUUGGGGGCAUUAGUAUUCAAUUGUCAGAGGUGAAAUUCUUGGAUUUAUUGAAGACUAACUACUGCGAAAGCAUUUGCCAAGGAUGUUUUCAUUAAUCAAGAACGAAAGUUAGGGGAUCGAAGACGAUCAGAUACCGUCGUAGUCUUAACCAUAAACUAUGCCGACUAGGGAUCGGAUGAUGUUAAUUUUUUAAUGACUCAUUCGGCGCCUUACG
This 522-nucleotide ribosomal RNA is filed under the name uncultured Glomus. RNAcentral describes it as "SSU rRNA". It matches the Rfam family "Eukaryotic small subunit ribosomal RNA", at positions 569 to 1092 of the family's 1831-position model. The record is from RNAcentral. Lineage: Eukaryota; Fungi; Glomeromycota; Glomeromycetes; Glomerales; Glomeraceae. RNAcentral also lists the same sequence under 2 other names.